Long non-coding RNA from Hippopotamus amphibius kiboko, 159 nucleotides. RefSeq lists it as uncharacterized. Lineage: Eukaryota; Metazoa; Chordata; Mammalia; Artiodactyla; Hippopotamidae. The transcript has 3 exons. The record is from RefSeq and is a predicted model, not a curated record.
AGGCCAUCUCUUGGCAGAGAGCGGGCGAGGCCCGUAAAAGCCACCUGAACAGAGGCUUCCCACAGGGGACAGGAGCGGAUCCACGCUGGAGCCUUUUCCCCUCCGCGGCACUUGGGUGGUGGCUGCUGUGCGCACAGGCUCCGUGUCCCCCUGAGCCUG